Molecule: long non-coding RNA, 214 nt
Filed under: Prunus persica (peach)
Lineage: Eukaryota; Viridiplantae; Streptophyta; Magnoliopsida; Rosales; Rosaceae
Description: long non-coding RNA (PPER_LNC008526)
Source: RNAcentral
CGAAGUUCGUUAUGAAAUGGAGUGGUUGGUGUAUUGCAUAGUUCUAGAGAUUGGAUUUGACUCAAAACAUACCAAAUGACUCCUCCCACCAUAUUAUCAUGUUCCCCAAGUUUUGGACUCAAUCCGAUAUCGAUUGGUCCAUGAAAUUGGACAAUUAAGGUUCGUACGAAGUUCGUUAUGAAAUGGUUCAUGGACCGUUAAGGUUCGAACAAAG